Aegilops tauschii subsp. strangulata is the source of this 1217-nucleotide non-coding RNA. The record is from RefSeq and is a predicted model, not a curated record. Lineage: Eukaryota; Viridiplantae; Streptophyta; Magnoliopsida; Poales; Poaceae.
CACUCAAAAGAAUUACAGCCACCGCUCAAAAAAGAAAGUAAGAAGAAUUACAGCCACCACACGACCUGUUCUCCCCCAAAUCGAACCCUCCCUAGACCUCCUCCUCAACCGCCGCCGCCGCCCCCUCUGCCGUUGACCACGCCCUCCGCCACCACCCCUUUGGCUGACCUGUGCGACCCCAUCGGGAUCUAUGGCGGCGGUGCUUGGAUCUCGGCGCCGCCUCCCUCGAUACGCCUCUGAUGUGCGAGGUUGUCGUCGCCUCCCUCCCUUCGACACCACCACCAGAACUGGUCGACGAUGCCGGUCGCCUCCAUCUCUUCCUUACGGUCCAUCACGCCGACGAGCAUAGGCGGACUCCCCACCAUGGCUUCCUCCCCGCCAACGGCGAGCGUGGUGUCCCAUCUCCACUAUACUGGUACAAUACUUUCCUCAGAUCCGUCUUGGUGGAAAUCCGAUGCAGGUGAGAUCUUCCUAGGUUGUUAAUCUUUUCUUCUCUGGUCGAUGAGAACUCAUGGUGCGCAUUGUCCAGUUGUCCGUACGAAGGCAGAUUUCCCCUUCCACCGAGUUACUACUGAGUGUGUUCCUUAUUGUUGUUUUCCUUUUCCUACCAAAUUGAUGCAGGUGCUAUUAGUGAAAGGAUUGGAGAGUGGUUCUAGCAGUGGUUGGUUUGUUCGAGGAAUUCCUGGUGCUCGUGAUUUGUAAAGGGUUUCAGCCAGGGCAAGUAAUUAUCAGCUGAGCAAAGGCUACAACAUGCUAGGAGGAGAAGUUUGAAUGGAGGCAGAGAGUACACUUGAUGAUGUGCCAGAAGGAAAACAAAAGGCAACGAUGAGAAGGAAAACAAACGGCAAUCUACUUACAUCUGACGUGUUAAUUCGAAUGUGCCAAAAAUUUCUCUUUUCAGGAAAUAGAAUGGAAAAAGGAAGAGGAGAGAAUGCUGAAGCACAAGAGCGAGAGGCUAGCGGAAGUUAAAGCAAUAAACUAUAAGCAUUUUGAAUGAUUAGGGCCUCGUGUCGUUGGGAACAUUACAACCAUGGGGAAAGCUAAUUUUGGUUGCUAGUUUAGCAUAGAAGCCACUAUAUGCUCAUUUUGGUCGUGUGUCGCAUCAAAAAACAUAUGUAAUUUUCCUUUUGUUGCACAACACCCUUGUAUAUGGGCGUUUCUAGAAGCAUAUGUAUUUGGUCGUUAAUUUUAUUGAGUGAAGAUAAGUUUUACGAUGA